Molecule: long non-coding RNA, 953 nt
Organism: Anguilla anguilla (European eel)
Lineage: Eukaryota; Metazoa; Chordata; Actinopteri; Anguilliformes; Anguillidae
Exons: 3
Source: RefSeq, a predicted model, not a curated record
CGCUUGCUCGCCCCGCUGUCUCGUUCUCAUCUCCCGGCAGAUGGAGCGUGCGCUCUGAGCGCUCCUCCGUUAUGAAGACCGUCCUCUUCCUCUUCCUCCCUUCAGCCCUGCAGACCACCUGGAUUCUACCUCCGCUCACCUUGGGGUUUGUUCACUCGGUGAACACAUUGGGGAACCCUGUAACAGCAGGGGGACGGCCAUGGAUGUCUUCGUGACUCGAGAGACAGCAAGUGUUUGGAAAAAUAGCUUCGUGUGCCGAGGACUUGAGGAGGACUUUGAGUUGGAACCACUCCCCAAUUUAUUGUUACGCCAUUCACCUCGAAAGACAGCCUCAUUUCCAGGACAAUGCUGCCGCCAGUGUGAGUAAAGCUUCUACAGGAGGGGAUAUCUUCAGCAUUUGAAUGCAAGAGGAAUGGUCCCAUUUAUUUCUCUCUCUCUUUAUAGUUAUAAUGCUGACAUAACAACACAGUAGCAUUGUACCUGUUUAAUUGCACAAUGUUAAAUAUGAUGUAAGUAGGAAAUUAUGCAUAUUAGUUAAUAUAUGAAAAUCCCUCAGCCCUCAAAGCGUACUUACGUGCACAAUUCCACUGUUACAUGACCACUGUAAGGUCGUCUUACUGUGGCACGUAUUCUCAUAAAUACAUGGAAUAUAAAAUAUGAGGACUGAAAAUUUUUACAUCAUUUCAUUUGUAACAUAAAUAUGUAACUCCUUUUCUGUGGAACUUGAAGAAGCAUGAGAUUAGGAAACGCAGGCCAAAAAUUUCUCCAUAAUGGACUCUCUACAUGGCAUCGUGGACAAAAUGGAGUCACUGGCCGUGCCAGACUCUGCAAACAGGAUUAGACCAGAGCGUGUGCUGCAUUCUAUUGUGGAGAGAGAGAGCUCCUCACACUGCUGAAUUAAAAUGUAUUAUUUUUAUCAUUCUCCUAUGGGGCUUGCUAAGCACCACAUAUAC